This 253-nucleotide ribosomal RNA is filed under the name uncultured bacterium. Its description in RNAcentral is "partial 16S ribosomal RNA". It matches the Rfam family "Bacterial small subunit ribosomal RNA", at positions 524 to 776 of the family's 1533-position model. The record is from RNAcentral.
GACGAACCGUCCAAACGUUAUUCGGAAUCACUGGGCUUACAGAGUUCGUAGGCGGUCUGGAAAGUUGGGUGUGAAAUCCCUCGGCCUAACCGAGGAACUGCGCUUGAAACUACCAGACUCGAGGGAGAUAGAGGAAAGCGGAACUGAUGGUGGAGCGGUGAAAUGCGUUGAUAUCAUCAGGAACACCGGUGGCGAAGGCGGCUUUCUGGGUCUCUUCUGACGCUGAGGUACGAAAGCUAGGGUAGCGAACGGG